GUGAAUCAUCAAAUCUUUGAACGCAAAUUGCACUCUCCGGUUUUCCGGGAGAGUAUGCCUGUUUGAGGGUCAGCCUAAAAAAAAUCGACAUUGUUGCUGUUAUUUAAUGGUGACUUUCGUCGGAGAUUGGGUUAUCUUAAACCUUUUUUUUUUUUUGUUUUAAGCACUUUAAAUUUUUUUUUCCCGUUUCCUUAACCUUUUUUAAGUUUUUUUUUUCUUUUAGUUUUAGGUUUUUUGGUUUUUUUUUUA
RNAcentral lists this unclassified non-coding RNA (249 nucleotides) under Glomeraceae sp. RNAcentral's name for it is "partial contains 5.8S ribosomal RNA and internal transcribed spacer 2". The stretch from base 1 to 72 matches the Rfam family "5.8S ribosomal RNA", at positions 84 to 154 of the family's 154-position model. Lineage: Eukaryota; Fungi; Glomeromycota; Glomeromycetes; Glomerales; Glomeraceae. The record is from RNAcentral.